This 274-nucleotide ribosomal RNA is filed under the name uncultured bacterium. RNAcentral describes it as "partial 16S ribosomal RNA". It matches the Rfam family "Bacterial small subunit ribosomal RNA", at positions 523 to 796 of the family's 1533-position model. The record is from RNAcentral.
AUACGGAGGGUGCAAGCGUUGUUCGGAUUUACUGGGCGUAAAGCGCGUGUAUGCGGCUUUGUAAGUCAGAUGUGAAAGCCCUUGGCUUAACCGAGGAAGUGCAUUUGAUACUGCAAGGCUUGAAUACGGGAGAGGAAAGUGGAAUUCCUAGUGUAGAGGUGAAAUUCGUAGAUAUUAGGAAGAACACCAGUGGCGAAGGCGACUUUCUGGACAGAUAUUGACGCUAAGACGCGAAAGCGUGGGGAGCAAACAGGAUUAGAAACCCCGGUAGUCC